AUAUAGAUCAGCUAAUUAAAUAAACUAGAGGAUUUAGGGUUAAUAGAUUAUCUAUUUUAUUUUUUUAAUAUUUUUUUAUAUAAAUUUUUAUAUAAAAUUCCCUUAAAAAAUAUAUUUGCUUAAUCAGUUUAAUUAUAAAAAAAGAUUAAGGUAGAUUAUGUUGAUUAAAAAAGCUUGUGAUAUUUUUUUGUAGAAAUCUGUUUAAAUAAAAUUAUUCUCUAAAAAUAUUUUAAUUUUAUUUCUAUAAU
Molecule: transfer RNA, 248 nt
Filed under: Pneumocystis jirovecii
Lineage: Eukaryota; Fungi; Ascomycota; Pneumocystomycetes; Pneumocystales; Pneumocystaceae
Description: tRNA-Pseudo(TAG)
Source: RNAcentral